AUUGAACGCUGGCGGCAGGCCUAACACAUGCAAGUCGAACGGUAACAGGAAGAAGCUUGCUUCUUUGCUGACGAGUGGCGGACGGGUGAGUAAUGUCUGGGAAACUGCCUGAUGGAGGGGGAUAACUACUGGAAACGGUAGCUAAUACCGCAUAACGUCGCAAGACCAAAGAGGAGGACCUUCGGGCCUCUUGCCAUCGGAUGUGCCCAGAUGGGAUUAGCUAGUAGGUGGGGUAACGGCUCACCUAGGCGACGAUCCCUAGCUGGUCUGGGAGGAUGACCAGCCACACUGGAACUGAGACACGGUCCAGACUCCUACGGGAGGCAGCAGUGGGGAAUAUUGCACAAUGGGCGCAAGCCUGAUGCAGCCAUGCCGCGUGUAUGAAGAAGGCCUUCGGGUUGUAAAGUACUUUCAGCGGGGAGGAAGGGUGUAAAGUUAAUACCUUUGCUCAUUGACGUUACCCGCAGAAGAAGCACCGGCUAACUCCGUG
This 490-nucleotide ribosomal RNA is filed under the name uncultured bacterium. Its description in RNAcentral is "partial 16S ribosomal RNA". It matches the Rfam family "Bacterial small subunit ribosomal RNA", at positions 30 to 507 of the family's 1533-position model. The record is from RNAcentral.